CAGGAUCAAAUAAGAGAUGAUCAGCUGAGAAGGAAGCUCCUACUUAAAGAAAGCUCUCUGUUUGUUUAUUAGGGGAAGAGAAACUGGUGAUAUGUGAAUGGGUUACUGUCUGACAGAUCUGAUGAUGGUGGUGGCAGCAGGGUUCCUUGUUUCCACCUGCGGCUCUGAGAUACAGUUACUCGUUGUAAGCAAGAUCGGCAGAUUUUCUCCUUUGUGCUUGGAAAGGUCACAGCUCUCUGAAGUAUGCAAGCCUUAUUGUCGUUUCCUUCCUCCGUCGAUUCACUAAAUGCCAGUUCUCUCAAUUGCCUUGAGCAAGAAAUUAACACCAAACAGCAUAAAAUGGACCGUAAUCUCUGAUGCACAGAUCAGAAGGCUGGAUACAAAGACGGCGAUUUGAAUUUAUUGCAGAGGAGAUAAGUGCUGUGGAUGGUGAAAAGCGGGACUGGAAAUCUGGAGUAAUGAUGCCAGAAAUAGAAUCAUAAAAACUGAUUUAGCACCCACAUCCUGAGAAGCAUCUGCUGACUUCCCUCUCAUUAUGAAAUUGAAUCUGCUACUGAAAAACCAUUCUCCCUAGAUAGUGCAUCUCUGCGGAGGCUGAUUUGAAGGAAUUUGAUAACGCACUAUUCAAAAGAAAACCGCACCAUCAAUAGAGAAAUCCACCAAAAUAAAUAUUCUCAGCAAA
Molecule: long non-coding RNA, 682 nt
Organism: Mauremys reevesii (Reeves's turtle)
Lineage: Eukaryota; Metazoa; Chordata; Testudines; Geoemydidae
Exons: 3
Source: RefSeq, a predicted model, not a curated record